GUGACGAGUGGCGGACGGGUGAGUAAUGUCUGGGAAACUGCCUGAUGGAGGGGGAUAACUACUGGAAACGGUAGCUAAUACCGCAUAACGUCGCAAGACCAAAGAGGGGGACCUUCGGGCCUCUUGCCAUCAGAUGUGCCCAGAUGGGAUUAGCUAGUAGGUGGGGUAACGGCUCACCUAGGCGACGAUCCCUAGCUGGUCUGAGAGGAUGACCAGCCACACUGGAACUGAGACACGGUCCAGACUCCUACGGGAGGCAGCAGUGGGGAAUAUUGCACAAUGGGCGCAAGCCUGAUGCAGCCAUGCCGCGUGUAUGAAGAAGGCCUUCGGGUUGUAAAGUACUUUCAGCGGGGAGGAAGGCGUUGUGGUUAAUAACCACAGCGAUUGACGUUACCCGCAGAAGAAGCACCGGCUAACUCCGUGCCAGCAGCCGCGGUAAUACGGAGGGUGCAAGCGUUAAUCGGAAUUACUGGGCGUAAAGCGCACGCAGGCGGUCUGUCAAGUCGGAUGUGAAAUCCCCGGGCUCAACCUGGGAACUGCAUUCGAAACUGGCAGGCUAGAGUCUUGUAGAGGGGGGUAGAAUUCCAGGUGUAGCGGUGAAAUGCGUAGAGAUCUGGAGGAAUACCGGUGGCGAAGGCGGCCCCCUGGACAAAGACUGACGCUCAGGUGCGAAAGCGUGGGGAGCAAACAGGAUUAGAUACCCUGGUAGUCCACGCCGUAAACGAUGUCGACUUGGGAGGUUGUGCCCUUGAGGCGUGGCUUCCGGAGCUAACGCGUUAAGUCGACCGCCUGGGGGAGUACGGCCGCAAGGUUAAAACUCAAAUGAAAUUGACGGGGGCCCGCACAAGCGGUGGAACCAGGUGGUUUAAUUCGAUGCAACGCGAAGAACCUUACCUACUCUUGACAUCCAGAGAACUUUCCAGAAGAUGCAUUGGUGCCUUCGGGAACUCUGAGACAGGUGCUUGCAUGGCUGUCGUCAGCUCGUGUUGUGAAAUGGUUGGGUUAAGUCCCGCAACGAGCGCAAC
Molecule: ribosomal RNA, 1025 nt
Filed under: Enterobacter sp.
Lineage: Bacteria; Pseudomonadati; Pseudomonadota; Gammaproteobacteria; Enterobacterales; Enterobacteriaceae
Description: bacterial SSU rRNA
Rfam family: Bacterial small subunit ribosomal RNA
Source: RNAcentral